AGAGUUUGAUCCUGGCUCAGGAUGAACGCUAGCGGCAGGCCUAAUACAUGCAAGUCGAACGGAUGCAGCAAUGCAUUAGUGGCGCACGGGUGCGUAACGCGUAUGCAACUUACCUGUUAGUGGGGAAUAGCCCGGGGAAACCCGGAUUAAUACCGCAUAAGAUGAAAGGUUGGCAUCAACCUUUCCUGAAACAUUUAUGGCUAACAGAUGGGCAUGCGUCCCAUUAGCUAGUUGGUAGUGUAACGGACUACCAAGGCGAUGAUGGGUAGGGGUUCUGAGAGGAAGAUCCCCCACACUGGUACUGAGACAGGGACCAGACUCCUACGGGAGGCAGCAGUAGGGAAUAUUGGGCAAUGGAGGCAACUCUGACCCAGCCAUGCCGCGUGCAGGAAGAAGGCCUUCUGGGUUGUAAACUGCUUUUGGAAGGGAACAAAAUGGGCAUGCGUGCCAACUUGAGUGUACCUUCAGAAUAAGCACCGGCUAACUCCGUGCCAGCAGCCGCGGUAAUACGGAGGGUGCAAGCGUUGUCCGGAUUUAUUGGGUUUAAAGGGUGCGUAGGCGGCCAUGUAAGUCAGGGGUGAAAGACUGCAGCUUAACUGUAGCAGUGCCUUUGAUACUGUGUGGCUUGAGUGUAGCUGAGGCAGAUGGAAUGGGUGGUGUAGCGGUGAAAUGCAUAGAUACCAUCCAGAACACCGAUUGCGAAGGCAGUCUGCUAAACUACAACUGACGCUGAGGCACGAAAGCGUGGGGAUCGAACAGGAUUAGAUACCCUAGUAGUCC
RNAcentral lists this ribosomal RNA (780 nucleotides) under uncultured bacterium. RNAcentral describes it as "bacterial SSU rRNA". It matches the Rfam family "Bacterial small subunit ribosomal RNA", at positions 8 to 796 of the family's 1533-position model. The record is from RNAcentral.